Molecule: long non-coding RNA, 18775 nt
Filed under: Ananas comosus (pineapple)
Lineage: Eukaryota; Viridiplantae; Streptophyta; Magnoliopsida; Poales; Bromeliaceae
Description: long non-coding RNA (ACOM_LNC021707)
Source: RNAcentral
AAAAAAAAUCUGCAUUGUAUCAUAUCUGGAUACUCUAAUCGGUGCAGUAACUUGAGUAUCGCGGAGGCUUUCGUAUUUCUAAGUUAUUUUCGAUAACGAAACUUUUGAAUCGACGAUACUGUAUUUUAAGUAUUUAAAAAAUAAAUUAUGAUUUUUCGAUAUCAUUUACCUAAUAAUUAAAAGGGCUCAAAAAUCAAUUGUUAUAAAUAAAAAAAAUUCAUAAAAAAUUUAUCAUAUAGUACUAAAAUUGAGAUAUUAAUUUUGUUGUAGAUAAUAUAAAAAAUUUUCUACCAAAAUUUUAUCCGUCUUGAAUAUUUUUAUAUUGUUAAACUUACAAACGGCACACCUCAAUCAUUAAAAAUUAUUAAUUCUAAAAUUUUCAAAUUAUUAGACAAUCAUAUUAAAAAAUUAAAAAUUUAUUUUUAAAAUAUUUUAAAAUAUGUUAGAUUAAUUUUAAUAAAGCUGAUCCUCGAUCAUCCCAAACAGCUCAGGAGGACAUCCUCUAGUCGUAGUAAAUAUAUAUCUACUCACUGUGAUAAACGGAUGAUGAGUCUUCAGAGGCAAAAUCGACGGUGGAUGUUAUGCCACGUGGGCCUCGACGUGCGCCAUUUUGCACGUUAUCAUCAACCAACCACAUUUUUUCCCACGCUCCGUUGGGAUAUCCAAAACCACUCAAAAACUCUCCUCCCNAUGCAAACUAGUUUUAUUACUUCUACAAUAGUACCUGAAAAAUACCAUACAUUUGCUAAACUCUCCUCCCCCUCUCUCUCUCUCUCUCUCUCUUUCCAAACAAUGGAAAUUUCCAGCUAAAAAAAUAAACCCAAAAAACCAGGAAAAAAAAAAAAAUGGCGUUUCUCCUUCCCAAUCUCUCCGCUCCCCCUCUCCUCUCCCCUUACCCUAAUCCUUCCCCAAACCCCCACUCAAAACCCUUCCUUUUCUCCUACUCUUCUUCUUCCUCCUCCUCCUCCUCUUCGUCCCUUCUCGUGCGCGACGCGCUUCAGGAGAAGCCCCCGAAGCUGCGGGAGAAGCCCCCCACGCCGCACCGAAGCGAAGAAUCCGAUCGAAUCGAGAAGAGGAAGGAGGAAAAGGACGAGUUUUACCUCAACCUCGGCGUCGCCGUUCGCACCCUCCGCGACGACCUCCCCGCCCUCUUCGUCAAGGACCUCAAUUACGUCAUCUACCGGUGAAAUCCCUAAUUCCCACUCCCCCCAAUUCAGUUUUAAAUUUACGGAUUUUGGUUGUUUUUAGACGAAAUAUGUGUGAACAACUCCUCGAUUACUCUUGGUUUGUUUUGAUUAAACAUGUUCUUAUUCGAUAUAUUGAGCAUCUUAUUUAGUUUGGGAGGGAUUUCAUUAAAUUUAAUGGCUUUGCUAGAUUUUGAGCCGAGGGAACUGAUAUUUAUUAACAUUUAAUAGCUGGUAGCUAAUGAAAUUGUUAGUUUUAGUGAAAUCCAAAAUCAAAACAAACAAAAUUUGAAUAGGUGUUAAUAAAAGAAGAAGAAGAAGAAGAAGAAGAAGAAGAAGAAGAAGAAGAAGAAGAAGUUUCGGAGUGUAUUUCGAAAGGGUCUAUAAUUGAGCACUAAGUUUUCUAUAGUUCUAGUUCGAGUUAUUAAAUAGUAAGAAAUAGAAAUUAGUUUGUCAAUUUCAAAACAGCAAACGCCCCAUUUUGGAGCUUCUUGAUUAAGCUGUAGAUAGAAGUUGCUGGGGUGAUCUCAAUAGUGCUUAUCCCAAUAACACUACUCGGAUAGUAGUUCAUCAAACAACGGUACACUGUACGGUAGUGCCAAACAGGCUCUAAGUCACAAUAUCGAGAUGCGACAGGGACCAUCAUUUUAUCCUAUAAACGCAAUUCCUGUUUUCCUAAUUUUGAGUGUUCCAUUCUUUCUUGCAGUGAUGAUAUCACAUUUGUCGAUCCGCUAAACACUUUUAAAGGUAUCGAGAACUAUAAAUUGAUCUUCUGGGCGCUCCGAUUCCAUGGCCGCAUCCUGUUUCGCGAGAUUGGGUUGAAGAUAUUCCGUAUAUGGCAGCCAUCAGAAAACAUGAUCUUAAUCCGGUGGGAGCUUCAUGGGGUGCCGCGUGUUCCGUGGGAGGCAGAGGGGAGGUUUGAAGGGACCUCACGGUACAAGCUAGAUCGAAAUGGGAAGAUCUAUGAGCAUAGAGUUGAUAACUUGGCGCUGAAUUUCCCUCGUGUAGCCAUGGGGCCGAAGACUGUGCUGGAUUUGGUCAUGUGCCCACCGAGCCCCAAUCUGACAUUCGGGAAUGGCUCGUGCUCAUGGGUUGAGCUUUACCGGGCAGUGAGGGGAACUUUGGAGGAGGAGGAGAAGGAGGCAACAAUUGAAGGAUUGGUUACUUGUUCAUAGUUUAAGGAGUAGACAGAAGGAUUAGCAGUGUAUAUAGUAGAGAUGGAGAAACAAUGUUUUGGUGAGUUGGUACAAGUGACAUUUAGCAAAUGUAUAUGACGAGGUGCUCAUCUUCUAUACUCUCUUCUCAUUCAUAUAAUAAAAUUAUAGUGCAAGGAUUGCUAUAUCUAUGCAUGUUAUAGCAAAAAUAUAAGGUAUACAUUAUGUAUUCUCUGGGUCUCGUGGUAAAACAUGUUUAAUCUCGAUAUAUGCAAAUGUGAUCCAUGUGGAUAUUCCAAAAGACUUUAUGAUUGAAUUUGACCAUAUGAUGUCUCGGGAAGAAACCAUCAACUUAAUUCUAGCUCUCCAUCUAAAUGAUGGUGCAGAACAUUUUACAUAUUAGUUCCCUUGAUAAAAUCAGAUCAUUAAGCUAACACAUGUUUUGUAGUAAGUUGCCUGGAUUAUUUGAAGAAGACCGUAAAACUUCUCUUUAGCUGCAUGGAACUUAUAACUUUAGUUCCAUUCCUCCAUUUCUUCAAUUCUAGCGCAUAAUUAUUAUACAGAAAGAAGCCCCAAGAAUUAGUUCAUUGGUAUGAUUUGUUAUUGGGCCUUUGUUCGAAAGUUUUUGUUCAGGAAAUGAGUUCAAAAUUACAAUGAAGCAUGUCAGAUUUUGCCUGAGUUCUCACUAACUUAGCCAUUUGAUGCAAAAUUCUAGCCUUCUUCAUAAAGGCCUGUGCUCGCCUGUGAAUCAACAUGCUAUAUCGCUAAAAGUGUAAAUACAUAAUCGAUGCUUUAUGCUUAAUGGCUGCUUAGACUGUUAGAAAUAGUGGUAUCUAAAGUUUUUUUUUUAUUGUCCUCGGCUUAGUUUGGUAUUGAGGCUCAUCUGACACUAUUAGAUAAAAUGGAGUUGGGAUAAAAAUAUAUAAGGAUAUACUUCUGCGUUCUCCGGUGGGAUAGAAACCGACUCAUCGCGAUAUGCGGAACGCAAUAUUACGUAUGAAAACAAAUAAGAUAUUUUCCCAUCAUACUUUCUCACCGCACGUAACGCAAUCUCUCCGCAAUCCCAAGCGAAGCUCUAGUCAAGUUGUAGAGUUUAGAAAAGUGCUUUCGUCAUCCAACUUUCUGGAAUGUUUUUGAUUAACUAUUUUUCUUCGUCAUUGUCAAAUAUUUCUUUUUCUUUUUUAUGGAGAAUCAUCAGUAUUAAUUUAUUCAUUUCCUCUACCUAGCGAUCGAAUCUCUCUCUGUAACUAGAAUGUGAGAAUUUGAAUAAUUUGAGUUUAAACUUUGUAGAAUAUUCAUUUUCUGUACAUAAACAAUAUUUAUAUCCCACAACCAACAUUGGCCGCACAUCUUAUUAAGUGAUUGACUAUUUGUGUGUCAGUUGUAACAAUAGCAGAGAAUUCAAUGUAUCAAACUUCUCAUAACGAAUAACUAAAUUACGUUAGGUUCUCAGGUAGACAUUCAUGAUGAAGCAGAUCAAACAUUAAAACUAUUGAAUGACGAUUGCAUAUAUAUGUUUAAUUAGGGUAUCAUGUUAAAGACGAGAAACAAGCGACAGCAAUACUGAUGCUGGUGCUAUCUUGUUUUGUGUGCUUAUUGGUGAUUUUCUUUCCCUUUGCUAUAUUGUUUCUAUCAAAGUUGGAAGAUUGAUAUUUUUAAUUCGGCUGAUGGAACUCUAGCUUGAAUGUUGAUGUACUGCAUAAGUUUUCUUCCUGGUUGGGUUCGAUUGUGCUUGAUUGUUUCUUCGCCGUCAUAACUUGUAUUCAGGCUCACUGGAUGAUUGGAUCGUAGGUUUCUUGAUACCCUAGUGUAUGUUUUUUUGUUUUUUUUUUCUUUUUACUACUCAGAAAAGAAUUUUAGCUUCUGAUAAGUUUCAUUUUAUUCAAGCAAAUCACAAAUUCCUUGAAAACUAAAAGCACAUAUUGAUAACUGGCUGUACUUGGGCAAAUUAUUUGCCAUACAAUUAUCUCUAGGCUACCCUUAAAUUUCUUUCUUUAAAGCUUGAUUGGUGAAUUGGUGAUGUGUGAUCCGACAUGUAAAUUGCGAUUACCAAUUCCUUUACUUAAGUAUUAAUAAGAAUCUUGUGGUUAUUUGCUGUUUCUGAUGCUGAGUUUGCUAUUGAACCUGUUAGAUAUUGGCUAAUUGAAAUUGGUAUUAAGAUAAUAGAUGGUUUGUGACUUUGCAGAAUGAUUUCAACUCUAAGAUAACAGAGAUGGUUUGGAGUUUCUGCUGUUGGCUUUAUUUUGUGUAGGUUGUUCGAAGAUAUCUCAGUACCAUGAAUUCUCCUUGGUUAAAGUGUGUUUAUUGUUUAUAUGCAGAAAAGUGAAAAAAGAACCCCCUUAAUUUUAAGGGCUUCUUGGUCAUGGAAGUUAUUAGUUAGAAUGAAGUUGGAGGUAACAACCUAUUUGUUGUCCUCCUCUCACAGGUUUUUUUUUUUUUUUUUAAAGAAGAAACCCGGGUAUAUGAACGUAAUUGUUUUAACCUAAUCAAAACAUUAAAAGAUACACAAGAUUCAGAGGCUCCUCAUCAACCAACAAAUAAUGAUUAAGGUGUCAUGUUUUCUUAAUGUGUGUUAUAUGUACCUGAGCAUGAACUACAUUAGGCACCCGUGUUUUAGCAUUCAUGUCAUUAUCGUGGUUACUAAUUAGUAAAUAGUUUACACGCACACACACAUUUCAUGGGAAACACUUUGUCUGCUUCUAGAACAAGUUUUUGAUCAGAAAUAGUACUUUUGCAAAACAUUGAAUUUCCGAAGGGCACAUUCAGAUUUCUCACAAAGAUAUGUAUAUGUAAACAGAUAAUUUGCAGAGAAAAACAUAUAUAAGUGUCCCAUACAUAGGCUCUUUUUUUUUUUUUUUUAUUCUGGAGGAGAGAUGAUAUGCUGAUAAAUUUGGUGAUAUAGUAUAGAAAGGAAGUUCACUGGAUGGUCUCAAGCUGUAAUUUUGAUGUGUCACAAGAUCGAGUUGCUGCAAUGUUGCUUUUGUUGUGUUAGCUCACCAACUUUUUUGGAAAGGAAUGCAACAAAUUAGUUACAUACUGCAUCAUUUUUGACUACUAUCUACUUUGUUAACUUAAACCAUAUGCAUAUGUGUUGAAUAUUUAUAGAUAGUCAUUGUACCUUUCUUUGUUUACUUGUUGCAGCAGAGGGCUCAACAACUUCACCAGCCUAUAUACUUGUUCAACAGAACCUAUUCAACAGAAGAGAGUAAGUAAGUCACUCUAUUUAAAAAGCACUUUUCUGAUUGACAUUGCCUGAUUCUUAAACCUGAACUUCAAUUUUAAAGUUUUAUUUUUAUAGUAGUCUGAAUCCAGUAUGUCAAAUCUUUGUCCACUGCUUGUGAUUCUGACUAAUUACACUGCAGAUUGCCAAAUUUCCUGUAAUGUUGAUCAUGUAUUACAUUUAUAUUCAGAAAUUUUUGGUGGGCUACAAACAUAUGCUUGAUUUUCUAUAGGGGCAGUUGUCCAAAAGUCAAAUAUCAAUAGGUAGGUUUACCGAAAGAAAAAGGAUUAGGACAAAUUUGGUUGCUUAACUGUUUCUUUCUACAACUUAAUUUACUGUACCUGAUGUGACUAGAGAAAAAGCUAUUUUCUUAUGAAAAUUUGCAUAGAAAACUUAAGUCCAUGGUACAGAUCUCUAAUGUGGCAUAGAGGACUCAACAUAAUACACAAUUUUUGCUGAAAAGAAAAUCACUAAAAGAGAUUUUUUAAAAAAAAAUUUAUUCAGCGGGGAAUAGGAGGUAAAUGGGAUGAAUAUAUUGGAUUAUUAAUAGCGAAAAUCGAUUUCAUACUUACAACCGAAACAUCAUUUGGGAUUCAUGUUCUUUGUAUGGUUUUUUUUUUCGACUUGCUUCUUUUUGUGUGAUUGAGAUGCUUUUUACAAACCAGCAUAUGCUAUAGUAUUUACUUGGUGGAGAAAUGUAAAUUAAUUACAAAGAUGUAAGCAUGGCUAAUAAUUUUAAGGUUAAAAUCUAAUUAUUCAGCAGUAGAGUUUGCAAAAUGUUGUGAGAUUUGUUUGUAAGUAAAGUAUUUUCUUUUGGAGAUAUCGUCACAUCUAAGAUCACCGAACAUCAUAAUCAGAUACCAAUUAAUUAAAUAUCAGUGGUUGGUAUAGACCGUAUAUAGGUGUGACUUUAUUUAUUUCUCAACAAUAAUAGUUAACAACUAACUACACUUUAUUGAUUGAAUAAUCUGAGCUUUGUUUAUAUUUCUUUUCAUUGCUUUAAUCUUAGUGGAGAUUUUAGUUGCCCAUUAAAAAUUUACCCCACAAAAAAAAGAAGAAACAGAUGUGGUUCUUUUUUUUUAUUUUCUUGGUUGAAAAGGAUGUGACAACCACCUUUUUUCUAGAAAUAAGAUCCAAAAGUUGUAUGGGCCCAAAUGUUAGGUUCUAUAACUUAGUGAAUUUGAAUUAAAAUAUUUGUUUUGGAUUGAAUUUAGUUCAUAUACUUGAAUCCAACUAUAUCAAUUAUGUUAGCAACUUUAUCAUUGCUCGAUUCAAUUGAAUUCAAUUUCUUAUAAUGAUUUAUUCUCUUUUGUAUUUUGUCGACAUAACAAUAAUAUAAAAAAGUCGAAUCCGUUUAAAAAAUAAAAAAAAAAAAAAUUAACCCCCACUCUGGUCGACCGCCACGUGGACAGUCGCCGGCACUACGACAUUGGACUCGACGACGACCUGGUUGCCGGACGUGUUCCGCAGCGCGUGGUACGGGAACGCCGAGUCGGCGAGCAACGAGUACUGCACGUGCCCGAUCCGGUCGGGAAACAGCAGCACCGGCGAGAAAUCGGCGGUCCACGUGCUCGCAUUCCCGGCCACCGACGCCUUUGCCACCGUCGACCGCACCGUCAUUCCGUCCGCCACGUUCCGGUCCACAAUCACCUGCUCGACGGUGGUGAACCCACCGUCCAAUCUUACAAUGUCGACACCCGCUCCGGUGCCGCUGAACAUGUUGUCGACGAUGUUGACGCCCUUCACCACACCGUUGAUCGACUUGAGCACGACGUUGGCGUCGCCUAGAAAGAAUGAGCUCGAUAUAUGGACCAAGACCGGGUCCUCCGACACGAUCCCGGUAUAAUCCAAAUAGCAGUUUGUGAUUCGGGUUUGGCUCAGACCAGGCGUUUUCAAAUAGAUCCCGGUCCCGCCCCAUCCGGUUGCCUUAUUGUAACAAUGCACCCCAGUAAGGGUGUUGGCCUCGCCACUUACUAGGAUUCCGGUGGCCGCCGAGAACACGACCACGUCGGUCACCGCAUUGUCGUUGCCCAUCAACUUGAUCCCCGUGCCGGUGAAGUUUUUCUCGCCCGGGUCGUUGCCGACGGUGAUGUGUUGCCCUAGGAAGCUGUUUCUGAUGAAGGUCUCGUGCCCGUUCUGAACCCAGAUGCCGUCGGUGGUGAAAUGGGUGAUGUAGCAGUUAUCGAUCGUCGUGCGGAUCGCGUUGACGACCGCGACUCCACCACCUCGGAAAUUGGAGUCUAGCAUGAGGCCGCUCAGGGUGAUGAACUCGUAAAGGGAGCUCGACGAAGAUCCGGACGCCCAGAGCUCGAUCAGGUAACGGUCGGUCGGGAAGUUAUCUGAAGCCCGUAGCGAGCCGCUAUGAAUCUAGUUUAAAGACGCACGUGUCAAUACUAACAUUAUGCAAUGCAUUUUGAAUUACGUGUAUAAAUCAAUUAAAAUCCUUCGUAUUACGCAUGUCAGUACAUCGGUGUACCUUAAAAUUGCCGCCUCCGGAGGCCGGUAAACUAAGCGGGGACGUGAGGACGUAGACGCCGCCGUCGAGGUCGACCUCGGCGCCGCCCAGAUCGGGGAUUCCGCUCAGCAGCGUUCUGCUCGUCGGGGGUCGGAACGCGUCGGCGAUGGCCCUCGCGAUCGCGGAGGUGGAGUCGGCGACGCCCGUCGGGUCGGCGCCGUAUUCGGUCACGUGGUACACACGUGACCCGGAAGCUUCCAAAUUCCCCUGCAACCGUCCAAUCCGUCUCGCAUCAGAAAAAUUUAACUUUUUUUCCAGUAAGGGGCACGCAUUCCGUGUAAUUCCGUGCAUACAAAAUUUUCAUACAUAAUAGUAAAAGUUCAAAUUUUAUGUAACAUCGCAAACUAAAAUGUUUAAGUAAAAAGUAUACGGAUACAUUCUACUCUUCAUCAAUUACCAACUACAAGGAGAAAAAAAGAGAGAUAACUGUUUGGCUCGACGAAGGCGGUUUCGCUGCGGCGAAGGAGGCGGCGAGGCUCUCCAUCCGCCGCGCCGCGAUAUUACGCCGCCGCUGAGCGCUGUCGCCGAUAGCCGAAGCAGCAGCAGCAGCAGCAGCAGCAUGAUCUGCUGCUGCAGCAACCAACAUCACCAGCAGGGCCAAAAGCCCAGCAACAAUUAGCACCUUAAUCCCCACCAUGAUAACACGUAUUGAUUCUCAAAUUCUCCUCUUUUUUAAUAAAAUCCCCCACCCCUGCACCUCUCCUUCAUCUCUAUCUACAUAGCCUUUUGUGUACUCUACACUUUCUAAGAGCCAAUCUAAGAGAAGGACAUAUGGAGGAAACAGGGAGAGAGUGAGUUUAUAUAUUUAUAUAUAAAACAUACGAUAUGAUGUGAUAACUAUAUGGACAUGUUAGUGAAUAGAAUAUUGCAAAGAGUGCAUGAGAGGAGAAAGGGUCAAAAAAUUAAGCUCUAAUUUUUUUUUUUUUUUUUUUGGGUUUCCAAUGUGAGAAGUUAAAGAUGUCCCAAGAUUCAAGGAAAAUUGUGGGGCCCUCUUUUGGUUUGAAAUGGGUCACUGUACCAAAGGAGGGGGUUUUGUGGAAAAUUAAUUUGGGUGGGGUGUUGGAUGCAACUUAGUUAUAAAUGCAAUGGGUGGGAGGAGUGGAAGCAAUGUGAAAGGAAUUAAUGAUGUACAUUGAUUGAGAAAGUUGCUUUGGCUUGUGGGAAUUAAUUCCUUCGCUUCGUUACCCUCCCUUCUUUUCUUUCCUCUCCUUGGGAGGCUUUUUGUUGUUGUUGUUGAUCUUUUCAUGUCCUUAAAUUUCUUUAUGUUUUAGGUGAAUAUACAUGACUUGGUAAAGCGAAGAGACCCCACCUAACAAAUAAGAUAAACGUUUUAUUUGUACAUCGAUAUACAACUUUGAAUAUUCUUACAUCUUCUCGAUCCUAAGAUUCACAAAAACUAAAUAAUAUUAGGAGAAGGCGAUGAAUCUUUUGAUGAGCAAGAUAUAUAAUAUGCACCCAGUUUAGAAAUGUACAGAUAAUAUUGCUCAACAAAUAAACCACUCCGAACAAUUUUUGAAUUUUUCUCUUUCAAAAAAGUGUUACCAUGUGCUUUUCUUUUCCUUUUAUUUACCUUUUCUUUCCUUCACUUUUUAUCUAAGACCACGGUAGGUGGUCCAAAGGAACACAAUAUCCUAUGCCCAUUAAUUGAUGCCAUAUUCUCUCUCUCUUUGCCCUUUUGCUGCAGGGCUCCAAAUGCUCUCUCUUUUUUCCUUGCUCUUUCUUUUUCAUUGCACACUAUGAUUUGGAGAGCAAUAAGUGAGAACUGAGUGGACCAAAUUCAAUGAUGCAUUGCACUCAAAAGUGGGCCUGAUUAAAUAAAACCAAGUUAGGAUCAGGCUUUCAAAACUAACCCAUUAUUUAUUUCUAUUCCUUAUAAUAAUUGUGUUAGAACACCCUCUUUGCAUGCUUCGAGGCUAGACUGGACUUUUUUCGAAAAUAAUCCUGUGAAAGUUCGUAUUUGCCAAACUAAUUCCGUAAAAUUUUUAUUUGUAAAACUAACCCUCCUUUCGCCACGUGGGCGCCACGUCAGGAAUUCCUCAAAAAGGCGGUGAAUCGUUCACCGUCUUUAUAAUUUUUGUUGUAAAAGCGGUGAAUGGUUCACCGUCUUUAGAAGACGGUAAACCAUUCACCGUCUUUAGUGCAAAAUUCUCCUUUCCGCCCUUUUUCCUUUCCGCCCUCUCAAGUCCGUCUUUUCUGUGCCCUCGAGAAGAUGGUGAACGAUUCACCGUCUUAUCAAGGACACCAUAUUAUGGACUUGGAAAGAUUUGCGCAGUGUAGGAAUUUGUACUAAAGACGGUGAAUGGUUCACCGUCUUAUGAAGACGGUGAACCAUUCACCGCCUUCACAACAAAUAUCAAAGACGGUGAACGAUUCACCGUCUUUUUAAGGAGUCCCUGACGUGGCACCUACGUGGCGAGAGGAGGGUUAGUUUCACAAAUAAAAAUUUUACAGAAUUAGUUUGGCAAAUACAAAAUUUUACAGAAUUAUUUUCGAAAAAAAUCCGCUAGACUUGUGACAGUGUAGAAUUCCUCCUCAGCAACAAAAUCUUUUUAGCGUAUCAGUGUCAAAAUGAAUCCACACCCUUCACUAUAAAAAAAAAGGGAAAAUUAUACUUACAAAGCUGUAAUAAAUGCAAUGAGUUUUAAUAAGUCAAGAGGACCACGUGAAAGGGUAGUACAAGCUUCCUCAAUUACUCAUGCUUUGAAAAUAUUAAACUAGUGCGUGCUUAACGAAAAAUUCUAGAAUGCAACGGAUAUAACGGUGGCGUGGCGUAAUAAAUCAAUCAAAGUUUUUUUUUUUAAAAUAUAUGUUCCAUCAUGAUUAUAAAAAAAUAUUUUUAUUAUACUUUUAUUUAAAAAGAAGAAAAAUAAUUGACUUAUUAUUAAUAAUGUGGUACAAGUGUGAUAGUGUAGAAUUUUUCGUGCUUAACACCCAUUCUAUCAUUCUAUGUCAAACCAUGCAAGGGUAAGAAAUAUAUCAAGGACUCCUUCUCAAUUAGGUGCUUACUUAACUUAGAUUUUUAAAACAACUUUUUCUACUUUAUAAAAUAAUAAUCAAAUGUUUCGUAAACAAAAUUCUUAAAUUUUAUGACGACAAUACAAUGAAAAAGAAGGUCCCAAAAGUGGAAAUUUCAACUCCAAUUGCUAGCUUUUACUUUCAAUGAGAAACUGUCACUUAAUUAGAAAUUAGUGUUGCUCGAACAGUGAAGCAAUUAGAUAUUGAACUUAGGACUUCAGGUACCAAUUAUUUAACUCUUUGCCACCUAUGCUAGUAAAGGUCGGUAGCAUUCAAAAAUAUUAAGAUCUCUUGUGAUUAUCGCUAUACUCCUAGCUGAAUAAUUAAUAUAAUUAUUCAGGCUAAUUUUGGUUUAUUGUGCGUCAAAUUAUUCUUUUGGAAAAUAGGGGAUUUAAAGAUGUUUUUAUCAACGUUUAUAAUAUCACAAUCAAUUUAAAUACCGCCAUUUUAUGACAAAUAUAUUCACAUAUAUAUAUAUAUAUAUAUAUAUAUAUAUAUAUAUUAUAUAUAUCAUAUAUAUAGGUUAUAUACUAUAUAUAUUCUCUUUCGUUAUUUUUUCAGUGAGUGUAUGUAAUGUAGUUCAUCUAAUAUCCAUGUUGCAUUAGAUAUUAAGAGCAACAUAGUUAAUUGAACUUAAAACUUUGAGAUAACAAUAUACAUAUAGGACUCUUGCCAACAAAAUAUCACUCUUGGGAAACAACCAAACCACUCACAUCAAUGACCAACUUAAGGGCCCCUCAAGUUUGUUCAAUACCUUUGCAUAGGUGCCUCCCUAUGUGAGAUUCAUUGCGAGUAAUACUACGUAUACAUCUUAAAAUUUUAGGUUUAAAGUUUACACUUCAAAAUUUUUAUGACCUUUAUUAAUUUACUUAUCUAAUUUUUUUUUUUUUAUUUUUUACGAAAACAUAAAAAAUUUAUUAGCUUUUGGAUCAAAGAGUGUAUAUUAUAUAGGGCUUUUUUUUCAAUUUAGUCCCCCGGCAAAUUUUUAUUUUAAAAAUAAUCCUAUCAAAAUUUAAUUUGCAAAAAUGGUCAUGCUCCUGCCACGCAGGCGUCACGUCAACCCCACGCGGGUAGGACUGGGGCAGUGUGUUAAGUUGAACACGGUAAACCAUUCACAGUGUUUCAUAUUUAUAUUCCUUUUCUUCUCUUUUAGGGAUGUCAACGGGUCGGGUUUGGAUCGGGUUUUUAAAAACCUGAAAUCGAAUCCGAAAAUCAAAUUAAAAUCCGAACACGAAUCCGAGCCCGGCGGGUUUUAAAAAUCUAUACCCAUAUCCAUAUAUUAAAGUUAUAUGAGUAUGGAUUUUUAAAACCUGUCGAAUUCGGAUUCGGGUUCGGUUUUUAAUUUGAUUUUCGGAUUCGGAUUUGGAUUUUUAAAAACCCGAUCAAAAUCCGACCCGUUGACAUCCCUAAAAAAGAAGAUAAUGAAUAUAAAUAUGAAACACGUUUGAACACGGUGAAUGGUUUACCGUGUUCAACUUAACAUACUGGCCCUAAUCCUGCUCGCAUGGCGCUGACGUGGCAUCUGCGUGGCAUGAUCAGAACCAUUUUUGUAAAUUAAAUUUUGACAGAGCUAUUUUUAAAAUAAAUUUUUUUUUAGAGUACAAUUUGCAAAAAAAAUUCUAUUAUAUAGGACAAUGUACAUAGCAUCUUUCAUUUAUUGUUUACGACUAUAAGGAAUGUCACUGUACAUAGCAUCUGUCAUUUAUUGUUGCGUCGGUGCAAUUAUUGUACCAUUUUUUUUCAUUUAUGGCUAUUUAGCCAAUGAGCAUAAAACAAUUGCUUGUUACAAAACUGUGUUGUUGAUUGAUGGACCUUGAUCUGACCCAUGCACAUAGAAGGGCAAAGGAGUGGGGCUAUUUUGCUUUAUUAGUUUAUAUAAGAUAACCAAAUUUCCCUACAAAUCAUAUUACAUUUUUUCAAAAAAUUGCUAGGGAUAAGCAUCUUUGACAUAUUUCUUCAAAAAAAAAAAAAAAAUCACAAAAACAGUUUAAAACCAUCUAGUAUAUUACUUGAAAGUAGGUAAAUACAUUUACUGCUACUUUUAUUCUGGCUCCAAUCAAAUAUAUUUUUCUUUUCUGAUCUUCAGGAAAGUAUCAUCUCAGUAUAGGGGUGUACAUUUUACAUCUUUUCAAUUUUCAUCGAAGAACUUAAAUGACCCUUGAAUCCUAGCAGCUACCGUAACUCCCAUCAACUACAAAUUUUAGAUUGAUAAUAUGUGAUUUCAUGAAUUAUUAUGCUACUAUGCUAUCGAUAGUAUCAAACGAUUGAUACUAUCGAAUUUUCAAUCGUUAGAUGAAAGAAUAUGUGGUUGGAAUGAUAAUGGUCCCCCAGGGUUGAGUGAGUGGUUGAUUAAAUAGUAUAAUCUAACGGGUGGAAAUAAUCAAAGGAUGGAUCUAACGAUAGAAAACUCGAUAGUACAAAGAAUUUAGUACUAUCAAUAGUAUAGCAGCGGGACUCUCAUUUCAUUUGCAAUGAUACAUAAUUUUGUGCCAUACUACUCGAAGACUCCAAACUUAUAUGAGCCGGCCCAUGGGCCAAAUCUGCACUUUUUAGGAACAGUGUAUUGGGCCGGGCCAUGUGUCUGCAUGUGCGUAAGCUCGAAAACCCCUAAAAUCUGCAGGUAAAUUUACUGAAGCUUAAUACAAUACAGCUAUAUUAUACCAGGAAGAUUAUAAAAACUCUUCUUCCACAUCAUUUCAUUGUACAAAUUGUGCCGGUUAUUUGGCUUAUUCAUUGUCUUAAAUUUAACAAAAUAUAAAAACCCCCCAAAAAAGGGAAAAAGAGUGAAAAAAAAAGAGAAAAUGUCACUAUAUGCAUGGCCCUUUUGGACAAAUCAUAUGUUAUCUGCAACGGAGUAUUAGGCCCAACAAAUUAGGCCUGGUGAGAACCAUCACAUUAUAGGCCUCUAUUGGGCUUCAUGUGGGCCCAUGAUCCACCCCCGAAUCGAUCUCCGUCCCAAACGCAACAUAGACCCCUUAAAACCCUUCUCUCUCUCUCUUUCUCUCUCUCUCUCUCUCUCUCUCUCGCUCCCGCCCCCCGUACGCCAUCGCCAUGAGAGGAGCUCUUCGAGCUCUGAGGCUCGCGACCUCCUCCUCCGCGCCCCUCUCUCGCCCUCGCCCCCGUUCCCUCCUCCCCUCUCGCCUCCUCGCCGCCGCAGCCGCCGACCCCCAACCCGAUCUCCCGCCCUCCGCCGCCGCCGACGACGACGACGCCGACGCCCCCUCCGCCGACUUCGAUAGCGCCGAGUUCUCCCUCCCCGACGACUCUGGCGCUAGCUCCCGCCGAGCUCCCGUGUGGGACGAGGCCUAUCGGGUUCGGGCCGACAGGGUUCUGUUCGGGGAGAGGAAUCGCGCGAAGAAGCUGUUGGAGGAGGAGGAGGAGAGGGAGAGGGCGACGAGGCUCGCGAGGGCGCUGCUCGAGGCGGCGCUGGAGCCGCCCGAUGACGCGGAGGAGGAGGGGGAUAUGGUGGUGAAGGAGGAGGAUCAGAAGUCGCUCUCCGUCGGAAUCAUCGGAGCUCCGAAUGCCGGGAAAUCCUCUCUCACGAAUUUCAUGGUAAAUUUGAUUCCUUUAUAAGGUCUUGUGAUAGAGUUAAAUUUAUUGGACUUUGUUUGUUAUUGUGUGCAUUUUAUCGAGCACGUAGUGAAUAAAUUGGCUCUACUUUUUCCCCUUUUUGGGGGUCUAUUUGAGAAGUUAAUUGCAGUAUUGUUCAAAUGAUACUAAAGUAGAAAGAUUAAGCUAAGAUUCUUUAUUGUAUAUGUAUAAUUUUGUGGAGAUUCAUAUAAUUUUCUGUGUUUUGUUUGUGUUGUCAUGAAGCAGUUGUUCUUCGUUACACAUCAUGUAUGGUGGGUAGCAUUAUUUCAUUUCAUUCAUUAACAUGUUCUUUCGAGUUUAUUUACGUUUGAUUGGACUUCGCAGCUUCAGUUUGAUUGUGGAGUUCAUUUAGAAACCCUCCCCAAGUUUGUAGUUCACAUAAAGUAUCACUUAUUUGGAAUUUGUAAUGCAUAUUCAAUUUCUGAGCUCAAGCAACUUCGACGUUUCUCCAAUUGCUUGCGGCCACAAAAUUCUUUCUGCACCCACAGUGGCUUUGGAUUUCAUUUUAAAUUUAUUGUUGCCUACCAUGUAAUUAUAUUUACUUUCUUCUAAAAGUUUGACUUACAUAUGUUGGUACUGCCUUUUUUCCUGAUAUUGUUUCCAUCACAUUCUUCUUGUUCUUUGUCUGUUAUUGCAGGUUGGAACAAAAGUUGCUGCUGUCUCAAGGAAAACUAAUACAACUACUCGCGAAGUUUUAGGAGUAAUGACGAAAGGGGCAACACAAAUUGUAUGGAUUCUUGUCUUGCUUCUUUAUGCUUCUGAUAUUCAUGCCACCUAGUUCCACUUGUUGAUAAAACGACUUCUCAUAUAUAUAUUUCUAAACUGAUGCGGAAGUAGUAUAGAAAUGAUAGAAUAUAUGUGUAUAUUCAAAACACAGAGAGAGACGCGCAUAUAUGUGACUUCACUUUCUUGACGUAGGUCUCUUUCUGUUUAUAAACAAAUAAAUAAAUAAAUCCAUUUAUUAAACUUUAAUUUGGGGUCUCUAUGCAAUCGGAAGGGUUUGGACUUCGGACUUAUUCAUGGAUAAUAGAAAAGUGCAGAAAAGAGAUGUAGAAGAGAAAGCAUGUGUAGUGUGAGCAUAUUUGUUUGCAUCUUUCCUAUAAUAAUGUUUCAAAGAACUGCUCUAUUGAAUAUGGCUUGGUUUGAAGCAUCUCAUCUUUUUUUAUGUUUUGCUCUUGUAGUUUGGUGAACUAAUAGCCUUUUCGACAGUGUUUCUUUGAUACCCCAGGUCUCAUGAUAGGGCAUCACGGGUACCCAUACAGGACAGAUGUUAGAGUUCGCGUAGAAAGUGCUUGGAGCUCAAUCGACCUAUAUGAUCUGCUUAUAGUCAUUUUUGAUGUCCAUAGGCAUCUCACCACGUAAGCUAUCAACUUAGCUUCUACUUCUCAUGCAUGUCUCGGUGAACGGCCAGUGGUUGUUAGACGUCCAUCUUAUCUUCUGGUAAUAUAGCUGUUGCUAGAUUUGAUAAUUACAAACAUAGUCACUGUAGUUUGACCUUGAUUUCCAUUUUGCCCUAAAGCUGACCCUGAUUUCAAUUUCGCGCUCAAAGUUUCAAUUUAACAAAGGAAAGCUUAAAAAUGAUGCUGACCUGUCACCAAUUUUAGAUGGUAGAAUAAUAGGAUUUAAUUAUUAAGCAGAAAAAAUUUUAGGGAUCAAACUGUUAAGUUGAAAUUAUGAGUAUGAAAUCGAGAUUGAGUUCACACUCCCAGGAGUAAAUUUGUACUCAACCCUAUAUGAUUGUUGAAAUUCUGCUAACUUAGUUUCCUAUACAUAUAGGUCUGACACAAGGGUGACAAAGUUAAUUAAACGACUGGGUGAGGAGGCAAACCCUAAACAAAAGCGCGUUUUAUGCAUGAACAAGGUGGAUCUAAUAGAAGAUAAAAAGGACUUGCUGAAAGUUGCAAAAGAAUUUGAAGAUCUUCCUGGAUAUGAAAGGUACGUAAUCGCUUACUAUGAACUGGUUUCCAUGCUUAAGUUUGUUAUUAGUUAUUCUCAUUUCUCUCUUUGAGACUCUUAGGUAUUUCAUGAUAUCUGGACUAAAAGGUUCAGGUGUGAAAGACCUCGUACAGUAUCUAAUGGACCAGGUAUGCCAGCUUCUCUAAGAAAAAUUUGUGUUUAUUUGUUCUACUUCAUCAUGAAGAAAAUCGAAUUUUGUGUUCUGUGUUGUAUGAAAUAGGCUUUCUGUUUCUUUCUUUUUUUACGUUUACUGUAUAGGCAGUCAAAAGACCUUGGGAUGAGGAGCCAAGCACCAUGACCGAAGAGAUACAAAAAAACAUAGCUUUAGAGGUUGUCCGCGAAAAGAUGCUAGACUAUAUUCAUCAGGUGCUACUUUGUUAAAUUUUACCAAAGAACUGUUGUUUCUUUCCUCAUGGCAGAAGUUAAUCCAAUAUACCAUCUCUAUCAGGAAAUUCCAUACGUGAUUGAGCAUCGAUUAAUGGACUGGAAGGAACUAAGGGAUGGUUCUCUGAGGGUGGAGCAACACUUCAUUACACCAAAACCAAGCCAGAGGCAGAUUCUUAUUGGAAAGAAUGGCUCUAAGAUAGGGUAUUACUUCUUUCAGUUAACUGCUCAUGUAAUACGAAACUACUAGCAUCUCUCUGAAUUUACUGUCAACGUGUGUAUGCUGCCUAGGGCGUUUGUCCGGUAUCUAGUCUCUGUGGUGUGCUCGUGUAUGCAUGUUCUUUUUUUUUUUUUAAUUGGACUUGUAUCGUAUGAUGCUGAUUGCCGCAUUAAUGGAACAAUUUUGUUUUUCUGGCGUACUUACCUUUGUUUAGGAGAAUAGGCAUUGAGGCCAACCAAGAAUUGAGGUCCAUAUUCAAGAAAGAGGUGCAUCUCAUUCUGCGAGUUCGAGUUGCUAAGAAGAAGGGUGCUUGAGUUGACGGUGGACAUUUCACAUGUUGCAGCUGAUUUCCAUGUAAGUACACAACAUCUUGUUUCCACUGUUCGGUUGUUCUUUCUAGUAAAUCUUUCGUAAUGCUCAAUAAGAUAUGCAUAUGCAAUUUAUAGUUUCAUAAGUAUACAGAGGAAUCCUCGGAUCAUUAUAAAAUCUCAUCUUGCAACUGACAAUGAUCAACGAUUCUUUUGGCCCUGCUGAAGCUACAAUGACUUCUCGAUGCAACAUAAACGGAAGUUUCAAUUCAUAGCUUAUUUUAGCUUUCCAUCACAUUUUGACCUAUCAACUCAUUCAUUAAACCUCCCCUAUGGUUUCUUCCCCUCAAUCUGACCUGGAAGUACCACUAAUUAAAAAUAUUGGAGCUAGAAAGAAUAAAAUAUUGAAGCUAGUUGCAUAGAUGGGACGACAAACCCAUGAGUAGAACCCCGAGGUGAUCUUGCUGAAGAAUGUAGUAUAAUAAGAUGAAAAUAACACUGAUUGAGUUUGAAAAUUCUUGUUCAGACCCAUAUACGAAUUAUAAACAGUUGUGUUAUUUCAGGGCGAUAUUGAAGUUGCAUUACUGACAAUGGGUUUUAACUUGGGUCAUUCAUGAAAGAACACGGCUUGAUACAUGAGACCUCUUAUUCUUGAUCCCUAUAUAUUGGAGGCACCAAAAGGAUUGGCUUCAAAGUUACACUCGCAAUCAACGGUGCUCCGGUGCAAUUUCGGGCUCGCCAAGUGUGCAGGAACGGUGCUUCAUAUUCGGCUGAAGAUUACAAGUUGUGCAAUUGUUUUCUAUUUUUUCUUUUAUACAACAUGUUGUAAAUUGUAUCGGUUCUCUUUGGAGAUUCUGCCAUUUGUUUGUUGUUUUUCCUUUACCUAGUUUCGCUAUGGAGGAAUAGCUAGGUGCAGUGACAGGAACAUAUGAAUACUAAUAAUGUUGUAUCAGGUCUUUUUGAAGCCUUUUACUAAUUUCGUUGUGCACAACUCAAAAGAGCCGUAAUACUCAAAAAAGGUCUAAUUACACUUGAGGCCUCAUCUCUGCAUUUGCCUUUCUUUUUUUGUUUUUCCUCUUGUUUUUUCAGUCAAAACUUCUCGUUAAACUUGUGGUAAUAAGAUGAUUUUAAACUUUGUACAUCAACAGUAAUCAAGUUUCUUUUAUCGGGGUAAAAUAAACAGAAACAGCAAAUUAAGAAUUUCCAAUAGUUCUCGAGUUUAAAUUAA